This 506-nucleotide ribosomal RNA is filed under the name uncultured bacterium. Its description in RNAcentral is "partial 16S ribosomal RNA". It matches the Rfam family "Bacterial small subunit ribosomal RNA", at positions 30 to 523 of the family's 1533-position model. The record is from RNAcentral.
AUUGAACGCUGGCGGCAGGCCUAACACAUGCAAGUCGAACGGUAACAGGAAUCAGCUUGCUGAUUUGCUGACGAGUGGCGGACGGGUGAGUAAUGUCUGGGAAACUGCCUGAUGGAGGGGGAUAACUACUGGAAACGGUAGCUAAUACCGCAUAACGUCGCAAGACCAAAGAGGGGGACCUUCGGGCCUCUUGCCAUCGGAUGUGCCCAGAUGGGAUUAGCUAGUAGGUGGGGUAACGGCUCACCUAGGCGACGAUCCCUAGCUGGUCUGAGAGGAUGACCAGCCACACUGGAACUGAGACACGGUCCAGACUCCUACGGGAGGCAGCAGUGGGGAAUAUUGCACAAUGGGCGCAAGCCUGAUGCAGCCAUGCCGCGUGUAUGAAGAAGGCCUUCGGGUUGUAAAGUACUUUCAGCGGGGAGGAAGGGAGUAAAGUUAAUACCUUUACUCAUUGACGUUACCCGCAGAAGAAGCACCGGCUAACUCCGUGCCAGCCGCCGCCGUAA